This is a long non-coding RNA of Zalophus californianus (California sea lion), 1006 nucleotides long. RefSeq lists it as uncharacterized. The record is from RefSeq and is a predicted model, not a curated record. The transcript has 3 exons. Lineage: Eukaryota; Metazoa; Chordata; Mammalia; Carnivora; Otariidae.
UGCAAAUAAUGAAAGUUGGGCUUCCAAACAUUAGAGAAAGAAAUUAGACACAAGGAAAAGGAAGACACUAACGUGAACCCUGUGGUGUUGGACUGGAAUCACAGGCAAUGACCAGGCCAGGUAUUAAGUGUCACAUGAGCGCUGGCUUCUGACCAGCAAGUGCUUACCUGGAGGAGAUAGAGGAGUCCUGGAACGAACAAGGAGACACCAGGGAACCAAAUAAACACAGCCACCUCCUGCCUUAAUUGCCUGAGAUCAGUAAUUACUUGUCUGGAGCAGCUGACUCUCUAUAAGGCCCAGGAGAGAAGAAAUGGCUCAUAGCAUCAUAGAAAGGACUUGUGAGUUUCAGAACACCUCCUCCGAAGAUCAGGAAGAAGCAGUCUUCCUUCCUUAGAUGAAAUCAUUCAUAAGGAAAAACCUGUUCCUUCUGCCAUUCUCUACCAGUAAGCGGCAUCAAUAUCUCCCUGGCUACUGCAGUGAUCUUUCACCUUCCCUGCCCUACACUCCCUCCAGCAGCCAUCAAGGCCUCCUGGUCAACCUCUGGAACAUCCACCCCUGCAGUUCCUGCUCUCAUCCGUUGCUUCUCCUCCUCAAUGGUCAUCCCAGUCUCCUCCCAUCUAGUCCGCCGGAGAAGUACCAGAAGAAUCCUUCUAAAACACAGAUUAUAUCGUGACAAGCCCCUCUUUAGACACUUCUGAUGCUUCUAUUUCAUCUAGCGGAUUAAGUCCAAACUGCAGCAGCAAACAAGGCCCUUCGCUAUCUGGGUCUUAAUUCUCCAGCUUCACCUCUCACUGCUCUCCUACACACAUCCCAUCCUCCAGCUACUCUGGACCAUUCCCUCAUUUCUGAAAACACCAUACCCUUUCUUUCCUGUGUCUGUUCUCAGCCUAUUCCUUCUGCCCAAGCUGUCUUUCCCUGCCCCCCUUCUGGUAAAGACACAUCCUCUAGUGGCCAAUUGAAAUGUCACUUCCUCUAUGAAGCCUAAGCAGAAAGGAUAACAGUAGUG